UACGUAGGGUGCAAGCGUUAAUCGGAAUUACUGGGCGUAAAGCGUGCGCAGGCGGUUCUAUAAGACAGAUGUGAAAUCCCCGGGCUCAACCUGGGAACUGCAUUUGUGACUGUAGAGCUGGAGUACGGCAGAGGGGGGUAGAAUUCCACGUGUAGCAGUGAAAUGCGUAGAGAUGUGGAGGAAUACCGAUGGCGAAGGCAGGUCUCUGGGCAUUAACUGACGCUGAGGAGCGAAAGCAUGGGGAGCGAACAGG
This 253-nucleotide ribosomal RNA is filed under the name uncultured bacterium. RNAcentral describes it as "partial 16S ribosomal RNA". It matches the Rfam family "Bacterial small subunit ribosomal RNA", at positions 524 to 776 of the family's 1533-position model. The record is from RNAcentral.